GCGCCCAGACUGCGACCCGGAGGCGGAACCGGCAGUGCAGCCCGAAGCCCCGCAGUCCCCGAGCACGCGUGGCCAUGCGUCCCCUGCGCCCCCGCGCCGCGCUGCUGGCGCUCCUGGCCUCGCUCCUGGCCGCGCCCCCGGUGGCCCCGGCCGAGGCCCCGCACCUGGUGCAGGUGGACGCGGCCCGCGCGCUGUGGCCCCUGCGGCGCUUCUGGAGGAGCACAGGCUUCUGCCCCCCGCUGCCACACAGCCAGGCUGACCAGUACGUCCUCAGCUGGGACCAGCAGCUCAACCUCGCCUAUGUGGGCGCCGUCCCUCACCGCGGCAUCAAGCAGGUCCGGACCCACUGGCUGCUGGAGCUUGUCACCACCAGGAGGUCCACUGGACGGGGCCUGAGCUACAACUUCACCCACCUGGACGGGUACCUGGACCUUCUCAGGGAGAACCAGCUCCUCCCAGGGUUUGAGCUGAUGGGCAGCGCCUCGGGCCACUUCACUGACUUUGAGGACAAGCAGCAGGUGUUUGAGUGGAAGGACUUGGUCUCCAGCCUGGCCAGGAGAUACAUCGGUAGGUACGGACUGGCGCAUGUUUCCAAGUGGAACUUCGAGACGUGGAACGAGCCAGACCACCACGACUUUGACAACGUCUCCAUGACCAUGCAAGGCUUCCUGAACUACUACGAUGCCUGCUCGGAGGGUCUGCGCGCCGCCAGCCCCGCCCUGCGGCUGGGAGGCCCCGGCGACUCCUUCCACACCUCACCGCGAUCCCCGCUGAGCUGGGGCCUCCUGCGCCACUGCCACGACGGUACCAACUUCUUCACUGGGGAGGCGGGCGUGCGGCUGGACUACAUCUCCCUCCACAGGAAGGGUGCGCGCAGCUCCAUCUCCAUCCUGGAGCAGGAGAAGGUCGUCGCGCAGCAGAUCCGGCAGCUCUUCCCCAAGUUCGCGGACACCCCCAUUUACAACGACGAGGCGGACCCGCUGGUGGGCUGGUCCCUGCCACAGCCGUGGAGGGCCGACGUGACCUACGCGGCCAUGGUGGUGAAGGUCAUCGCGCAGCAUCAGAACCUGCUACUGGCCAACACCACCUCCGCCUUCCCCUACGCGCUCCUGAGCAACGACAAUGCCUUCCUGAGCUACCACCCGCACCCCUUCGCGCAGCGCACGCUCACCGCGCGCUUCCAGGUCAACAACACCCGCCCGCCGCACGUGCAGCUGUUGCGCAAGCCGGUGCUCACCGCCAUGGGGCUGCUGGCGCUGCUGGAUGAGGAGCAGCUCUGGGCCGAAGUGUCGCAGGCCGGGACGGUCCUGGACAGCAACCACACGGUGGGCGUCCUGGCCAGCGCCCACCGCCCCCAGGGCCCGGCCGACGCCUGGCGCGCCGCGGUGCUGAUCUACGCGAGCGACGACACCCGCGCCCACCCCAACCGCAGCGUCGCGGUGACCCUGCGGCUGCGCGGGGUGCCCCCCGGCCCGGGCCUGGUCUACGUCACGCGCUACCUGGACAACGGGCUCUGCAGCCCCGACGGCGAGUGGCGGCGCCUGGGCCGGCCCGUCUUCCCCACGGCAGAGCAGUUCCGGCGCAUGCGCGCGGCUGAGGACCCGGUGGCCGCGGCGCCGCGCCCCUUACCCGCCGGCGGCCGCCUGACCCUGCGCCCCGCGCUGCGGCUGCCGUCGCUUUUGCUGGUGCACGUGUGUGCGCGCCCCGAGAAGGCGCCCGGGCAGGUCACGCGGCUCCGCGCCCUGCCCCUGACCCAAGGGCAGCUGGUUCUGGUCUGGUCGGAUGAACACGUGGGCUCCAAGUGCGUGCCUGUGGACAUACGAGAUCCAGUUCUCUCAGGACGGUAAGGCGUACACCCCGAUCAGCAGGAAGCCAUCGACCUUCAACCUCUUUGUGUUCAGCCCAGACACAGGUGCUGUCUCUGGCUCCUACCGAGUUCGAGCCCUGGACUACUGGGCCCGACCAGGCCCCUUCUCGGACCCUGUGCCGUACCUGGAGGUCCCUGUGCCGUACCUGGAGGUCCCUGUGCCAAGAGGGCCCCCAUCCCCGGGCAAUCCAUGAGCCUGUGCUGAGCCCCAGUGGGUUGCACCUCCACCGGCAGUCAGCGAGCUGGAGCUGCACUGUGCCCAUGCUGCCCUCCCAUCACCCCCUUUGCAAUAUAUUUUUAUAUUUUA
Molecule: RNA transcript, 2174 nt
Organism: Pan troglodytes (chimpanzee)
Lineage: Eukaryota; Metazoa; Chordata; Mammalia; Primates; Hominidae
Gene: IDUA
Gene name: alpha-L-iduronidase
Exons: 14
Source: RefSeq, a predicted model, not a curated record